Molecule: ribosomal RNA, 253 nt
Filed under: uncultured bacterium
Lineage: Bacteria
Description: partial 16S ribosomal RNA
Rfam family: Bacterial small subunit ribosomal RNA
Source: RNAcentral
UACGUAGGGGGCAAGCGUUGUCCGGAAUUAUUGGGCGUAAAGGGCGCGUAGGCGGGUAUUUAAGUCCGGUGUGAAAGAUCAGGGCUCAACCCUGAGAGUGCAUCGGAAACUGGGUAUCUUGAGGACAGGAGAGGAAAGUGGAAUUCCACGUGUAGCGGUGAAAUGCGUAGAUAUGUGGAGGAACACCAGUGGCGAAGGCGACUUUCUGGACUGUAACUGACGCUGAGGCGCGAAAGCGUGGGGAGCAAACAGG